GACGAACGCUGGCGGCGUGCCUAAUACAUGCAAGUCGAACGGAGCACUGAAUUUCGGUUUAGUGUUUAGUGGCGAACGGGUGAGUAACGCGUGAGGAACCUGACCUUUAGAGGGGGAUAACACCUGGAAACGGGUGCUAAUACCGCAUAAGACCACACUGUCGCAUGGCAGAGGGGUCAAAGGAGGAAUCCGCUAGAGGAGGGACUCGCGUCCCAUUAGAUAGUUGGUGAGGUAACGGCCCACCAAGUCAGCGAUGGGUAGCCGAGCUGAGAGGCUGAACGGCCACACUGGAACUGAGACACGGUCCAGACUCCUACGGGAGGCAGCAGUAGGGAAUAUUGCACAAUGGGCGAAAGCCUGAUGCAGCAACGCCGCGUGAGUGAUGAAGGCCUUCGGUCGUAAGACUCUUUGAUCAGGAUGGAUAAUGACAGGUACCUGAAAACAAGACCACGGCUAACUACGUGCUAGCAGCCGCGGUAAGUCGACUAUCGAC
Molecule: ribosomal RNA, 493 nt
Filed under: uncultured bacterium
Lineage: Bacteria
Description: bacterial SSU rRNA
Rfam family: Bacterial small subunit ribosomal RNA
Source: RNAcentral